RNAcentral lists this ribosomal RNA (460 nucleotides) under uncultured bacterium. RNAcentral's name for it is "partial 16S ribosomal RNA". It matches the Rfam family "Bacterial small subunit ribosomal RNA", at positions 338 to 795 of the family's 1533-position model. The record is from RNAcentral.
CCUACGGGGGGCAGCAGUGAGGAAUAUUGGUCAAUGGUCGGGAGACUGAACCAGCCAAGCCGCGUGAGGGAGGAAGGUACAGAGUAUCGUAAACCUCUUUUGUAAGGGAACAAAGGCGGGGACGUGUCCCAGGAUGAGUGUACCUGAAGAAAAAGAAUCGGCUAACUCCGUGCCAGAAGCCGCGGUAAUACGUAGGGGGCAAGCGUUAUCCGGAUUUACUGGGUGGAAAGGGAGCGUAGACGGUUAUGUAAGACGUGAGUGAAAGCCCGGGGCCCAACCCCGGGACUGCUUUUGAAACUUUUUAACUGGAGUACAGGAGGGGCAGUCGGAAUUCCUGGUGUAGCGGUGAAAUGCGUAGAUAUCAGGAGGAACACCGGCGGCGAAGGCGGCCUGCUGGACUGAAACUGACGUUGAGGCUCGAAAGCGUGGGGAGCAAACAGGAUUAGAUACCCUGGUAGUC